This 22-nucleotide non-coding RNA is filed under the name Arabidopsis thaliana (thale cress). Lineage: Eukaryota; Viridiplantae; Streptophyta; Magnoliopsida; Brassicales; Brassicaceae. The record is from RNAcentral.
GAGCUGUGGAGAAAGCCAAGCA